UGGGCUAUCGCCAAGCGGUAAGGCACAGGGUUUUGAUCCCUGUAUUCGCUGGUUCGAAUCCAGCUAGCCCAG
RNAcentral lists this transfer RNA (72 nucleotides) under Lachnospiraceae bacterium A4. It matches the Rfam family "tRNA". From Rfam's summary of the family: Transfer RNA (tRNA) molecules are approximately 80 nucleotides in length. Their secondary structure includes four short double-helical elements and three loops (D, anti-codon, and T loops). Further hydrogen bonds mediate the characteristic L-shaped molecular structure. tRNAs have two regions of fundamental functional importance: the anti-codon, which is responsible for specific mRNA codon recognition, and the 3' end, to which the tRNAs corresponding amino acid is attached (by aminoacyl-tRNA synthetases). tRNAs cope with the degeneracy of the genetic code in two manners: having more than one tRNA (with a specific anti-codon) for a particular amino acid; and 'wobble' base-pairing, i.e. permitting non-standard base-pairing at the 3rd anti-codon position. The record is from Rfam by way of RNAcentral. Lineage: Bacteria; Bacillati; Bacillota; Clostridia; Lachnospirales; Lachnospiraceae.